UCAGAGAUUAGACACUGUAUUUAAUUUUUCAGCUUCUUUCAGGUCCUUUGAAAUUCUUAGGAAAGUAGCAUCUGAUCUUCGUGAUUUGUUAUCAGUCCUCUUAUAGAUUUUGGUGAAGCUCUUCCAGCAAGGGUUGAACAUUGUCACAAACCUGAUGCUUGCAGCUUGAAUGGAAUGAUCUAAAUUACUGCCAGAAUUUUUUGAAAUGAAAAGAAAAUUCCUCAGAAAGACUAUGGUAUCAAAAAUGAUGUUGCUGAAAAAGAAUCCGGAGCCUGGAGUAGGUAUGUGACUCAAAAGCACUUUGUAGGUAAGUCACCUGUCAGGUAUCUGCAGGUCAUUGCUCCUGAUGUUGCAUUUCUGACUUUAUCUCUUUGUCUCAGUAAAGCUUUCAGUCACAUGGUUGUUUUGUCCCUGUCCAACGAAGCAUCUACAGAAACGUUGCAACCUCACAGAGUGGCUGCAAAUAAAGCAAAUAAACCACAAGGGUUUUUUCUAGUCGUGCCUUCAAGAAGCUUUGCUGUAAUCAGCAAAAAGAGCUGAGUGGAGAGGUUUGCUUCCAGUCUUUUGGUGUCUGUAGUUACAGCUCGAGUUCCUCUGGGUGUGGAUAGGGUGAGAGUGAGUGGAAUUCCCAUUUCCCAAAUGGGACUGGAGUCACGUUCUCCAGACAGUGCCUGUGCCAUUCGCUGUGCAGGCAGGGGAUGGUGCUGUUGUUCCAAAUAACCUUGUCAUGGUGCUGCUCAAGAUUUCACUUCUCUCUUGAAUCACUUGCUUAACAUUUUGGGGUUUUUUUGUACCUCUUUCAGAUGGCUUUCCUCAACCUAAAGCAUGAGUCAGAUCAGACAAUUGAAUUUUUUGUUAUUAUAUUUUCAGGAUCCUUUAAUAUAAUUUUUUGUGCACUAUGAAAUGAGAGAGACUAGUGAACUUUAUUGGAAACAGAAGCUGGGUUUACACACAUGACAUUUUUAUUAAUGUUAAGCAUUUCCCUUCUGCAGUCUGAGCACAGCCAACCUCCAGUAUUCCACCCCAGUCUCAGUUAGGAAAAAUUAGAAAAUCUGUUUUUGUUAAACUCAUGCAUUUACAACUUGUGAGUUUAGUGGAACAGAUUUUGCUGUGCCAGUAUUAUUUCAUAUACAGAGAUUUCUCACCUGCAGUCCCUGAAUUAUUACCAUGUUUUAGUGAGCCUGGGAGGUUAUUUCAUAUCAUUCAAGCAACAGCAUGACUGCCCUGCACUGUGUAAAGAAAUGGAAAGGCUGUGGAGGAUCUGAUAUUUUAGGAAGUAACUGUGUAAUUAGCAGGAAAAACUCAUCACUCAAAUGGAGCAGAAAGGACAGGAAAGAUGAUAUUUUUAAUUUUUUUUUUUUAUUUCAACCAGUUGUGUAUGAUGGGAUAACAAACUGAGAGCAGGAAAGAGGAAGGAUGGUGUAAGACACUAAUCUAGUCUGCUACUACAAGAGGAAAGGGCCAGAGUAAUCUUCCAUUGGUGUCCGUGGGAAGUGGGCUCAUCAAUCCUCUCGGAUCUAGAGUAUACGCACAUAGAAUUCCAUCCACAGAGUAGUCUCAUGGUUUUAACUUUUGGCUACUUCUAGCCUUAAUUUCAGUAGGUAGCACAAUGGUGAAACAAGAGGUCCUGGUCUUGGUCUUUCUUUUACACACACCUAUGAAGGAAAAAAGUCCCACCUACACUGGUUGGCUUUUUAUUUCUGCACACUUUGCAGUAAAUGUGCUUCCCUCGUACCCUUCCUAUUCUCAAAGCCUCCUUCAAUAACAGGCUACAAGCUGCACAUAAUGAGGCCUAAAAGGCACAACAGUGCCUCUGAAAUCCAGUGAAAAUGUCAUUGAAGCCUUACUCUGUGUAUUCAGCACAUGUUGUGUUCUUUCGUGCUGACUGCUUUGUCUUUGUAUGCAGAAAUAUUAAAUCAGGGAAUUUACUCUGGAUGCCUCUAAAACUUCAUUAGUUAUUUUGCCUGUUUAUCUGUGCUCAUCCUUCUGGCACUUUAUGUUUACUUUCAGAAAACAAUUCUCUGAUGAUAAGGAUGAAUGGAGGAAAUUAAGAGUUUAUAGAUCAUGAUUGUGCUGGCACCAAGUGACUAUGAAUGCUAAAAUAAAGGGAAAAGAAGUACAUUCAUUUUUGGUGUGUUUCAGCAAUGGCAGCUUAGUGUUUAAAACCGACUUUCCACUGUUGCCAUCCACUGCUGCUAACAAAGAAGUGAGCCAGUGUUCAGUCACAGCUUACACUUCUAUUGUAUUCACCAUCUUAGCAGCAGUGCUUGCAUUAUAUAUUACAUGCAGACCCCCAUGUGGGCUUCACUUGAAACAGGUCUCUCCCAGGUUGUUCCUUACUGGACACAGCCAAAAUUUUCCUUUAAUGAUGAUACAGACAUGGUAUCAGAUGAUACAGACUUGGAAGGAAGAAUGAGGCUGGUUUUUUUGCUCCUGUGGGAUUUUUUUACCUACACUCCCUCUCCUUUUCCUUCAUGCUUUAUGUUAACAGGAUCUAUAAAAUGUUUUGAAAUAUUAUCUCCAGGUAAUGUAACUUGCUGCUCCAUGAAGAGCAUCACAGUGAUUCUCCCACACAGCUGGUAUAAAACAUCUGUUAACCUUAAGGGUAUAAUACAGCAACCACCCUGUAGUGCCAUUUACAGUGGGUAAAAACACACUGCCAUCCAUCAAAGACAUCCUCUGGCUACAGGAAACAAAACCCAGGCAAAAUGAUUGCCUGAUUAUUUAACCUGUUUACUUUGUGGUUUGCCUUGGCUCAGGACCCACUGUGUCACCUCCACUCGAGGCUGAUGGAUCGUGAUGUGUAUUUAUCUGAAGCCUCCUGCUGUUUGUCUCAGUCUGUCUUACUGGGCUCUUGUGUUGCAGGGUGGGAUCCAAGCAGCCCUCACAGCACUCAUGGCUCAGGUUAAUGCCACAUUUACACGAAAGGUCCCUCCUCACAGUUUGCUUCAGUGCUUGUGCAGGCAGACCCCUGAUGUUACUGUGACCUGUGAGCUGCUCAGGGACUGGGAGUUGACUGGUGGGAAGAAGGGAGAAGACUUGCAAUUGAUGCAUGACCAGGAGAAGAGGAGAGUCAUUUACUGCUCUCAGACUAGAAGGGCCCCCCAGCAACACUGCCAGGUAGGAAGCUUGGAAACAAAAUGAAAGGAAAAGUGCGUCACGACGUGAUUAAAUUAUAGACCCUGCUGUUACAUGGCACUAUGGAGACCGUGACUACAAGUGACACUGGUAAGAUAAAAAGACCAGUUCAUGCAAACAGGUUCUUCGGUGGGUUUUACAGCAGAUACAGUGUGUAGCUCACACUGUUCCCAGCUGCUUUUUCUGGGAUGUAGCAGGGAGCGCUGUCGCUGCUGACAACCAGUUCUUGGAUUAAAUUGCCCACCCUCUGAGACAGGUACCAGGUUUUAUUUUUCCCCUCAUAAUGCUUGGCUUGCAAUUAAUUUAUCUUCCCCUUGACUGCCUGCUAAGAAAUGUGUUAAAAAUGUUAAAAUAUUCCUAUAAGACUUUCUCCACACAAGAAAGUGCUGCAUUAUAAGGUUGUUAAUUUAUAGCCUCUGGGGAGUGACCUUGAUGAAUUCCGAGCUGAGCUGAAGUGAUUCAGAGGAGACAACAGUCUGGAAGGAGUGUUGGAGAUGUGGCUGUUCCUGCCUUGGGGAGGGGAGAAGAGAGGACAGUGUUUCUCAACCUAUUUUAGUUGAAGACUCACCUAAACCUAUUUGAAAAACAAAUCAACAAAAAUGAAGGAAAGCUUGGAACAUGCACCUGUUUUUCCCUGAUCCUCUCCCAUUUCAUUCAUUCACAUGAGGUUUGUGUGUGUGUGUGUAGGUGAACAAGACCUUUCUAGUAAGUGCUUGCAAUGGUUUGUUAGACUGUGUUCUUAAGGAGUUUUGUUUUCAGCAGAUUCCUGCCAGUUCCUAGUCUUGGAAAUGAUGGAUGGGGAGAGGCUUCCCGGGCUUGCACUUGCCUGGAGCAAUGCCAAGCCGACGGACAGCGAAGAUCUGACAUAAGAGAAGCAGGCUUUUACCGAGACAUAGAGAGUCGUAAGGGAAGUUGACAUGUGAGGAUUCAAAUCAGCAUAUAUACAUGAACUAAAUCCACCUUCUUCUGCCUCAUGUUUUCCCUUGGACUCCUUUGACACACUCAGCGUGACUGAAGCAUUGCUGAUCGUAAUUGCCAGACUCCCUGAAUUCCUGUGGAAUUUACUGCCAGCCACAGAUGAUCAAAAAGCCUGGCCAUCCCCAUCCCUUCUGCUUUGUAAGAAUCCUCACUGUUGGGACCUGGCAGUGCCCAUCUAUCCAUUGGUCACCUCCAGCUGCAUUACUGGAUCUCGCUGUGCACUGAAAUAGCUUGGCUGUCAUUAACUUGAGGAUAUGGAAGACAGAGAAAUCAGAAAAUGACACUUUCAUCCUAAACACAGGCAAAGUUCAGCUGUGUCAUAUAAAAUCAGUGAUAACUGAGAAAGGUGCUUCCAUGUGCAGUGACCCUUUCCUGCUCCCUCUCUCCUCUGUCCCAUGUUCCUCCACCCCUCCGUGUCCCACCAGUUGUCAAUGAUAAGAUAUAAUGUUUACCAUCUCUAUUUUCUGAUCUGGGUCAAAUUUGUAUUUUUUGUUGCUGUGGUAUUUAAUAUUUUGACGCAAUGGACUUAACAGUAACCUAGAACUCUAAACACUGUCUCUCAGAACUGUGAGUAUAGUUAGAAAAGCUGGAGCAAGAAGGAAUAUUGCCUCAAGGAUUUGAUGAUUACUGUAUUUAAUUACACCAUUGUCAGCUUGAAAAUAGAAAGUAUAACCAGGCAAAUUUGUGGGUUGCUUGGUGGGUUUUUUUUAAGAAACAACCAUGUUCACUUCACCAGCUUCUGUCACUCAGUGUUAUUCUGUUAGACUUCUAUUCUCAUUCUCUGUAUCAUUCAUUCCUAAGCUGAGGGGUUUUGCACAUGAGAAAAAACUCUGUACCAUUAAUCAUCCUUCUCUGUGCCUUCUCCAGUUUGGCUGGAUUGGUUUCAAACUGAGAGGAAUCAGAAGUGCUCCUCGUGUUCAACACAUUGGCAAAGGCUGAGGCAUUGGUGUGACCAGAUUCUUCCAAUUCAGUUGGAGAAGGAUGAUGAUCUUCAGGCUUGAUUGAAAAAAUGUUCAUUUACCCAAUAAAGGGCUGGAACCAUGCAUGGAGCCAUGGUCAAAACCCUCCUUGGAAAAGAGCAAAGUUCUCUGCCACUGAGUCCUUCAUAGGCUGAAUAUCUCUGGAAUUUUUCUUUCCACAUAAAAUGACCUAGAAGUUCAUGGUGAGCAGUAUAACAGUAGCUGUAAAAUAUGAAGUGGCAAAGGUUUGAUUCAUGGCUCUAUUUUUCUUACCUCUGUUACAUUCAGGAGAAAACUCCUUAGAUUUAUUUCAUGGUGUUCACUUUGUAAACCACUCACAUUCUUACAAAACAAAGACCACAGUGUCUCUGAAUACAUUUCUGUAAUGGGAAAAAUGAAUGGUGCCAAAAAUGCCUAUUGAUGCUGACACUCUUUGAAGACCAGAUUGUUCCAUUGCACUUCAGGUAAUUUAAGAUUCCCAGAAUUUCUUACACAAUUUAAUGCUUUUUCUCACUUCCUUGACCUCUUUUAUCCUUGAAUUACACUGAGGAAGUUACUGCUUCUGCAAAUAACACUUGUCUUAUUGACGGUGUAGGUAACUAUAAAAGCUUCCUGUAGCUUUUAUAUUCCUGUUUUAUAUUGCUAUAAUACCACCCCAAUGCAUAAAAUUGUCCAAAAUUCUGGUCUCUGGUGAUUGCAUCUACCUAUGGGAACAUUUUAUUGUUUCAGCCUAACGCUGAGAUUCUGUUAUUAACAAUGAAAAUCCUACAUUUCUUUUUCUAGUUGAUCAUGGCAUUUGGUUAUUCAAUAAUUUAAUAAUAUUUUUAAU
This is a long non-coding RNA of Pipra filicauda (Wire-tailed manakin), 5904 nucleotides long. RefSeq lists it as uncharacterized. The transcript is spliced from 5 exons. Lineage: Eukaryota; Metazoa; Chordata; Aves; Passeriformes; Pipridae. The record is from RefSeq and is a predicted model, not a curated record.